AUUGAAACACUAGUUCUCAUACGAUCCCCGAAGUUAAGCAACGUCGAGUCUGGUCAGUACCUACAUGGGUGACUGUUUAAGAAUACCAUUUGCUGU
Non-coding RNA from Acanthosepion pharaonis, 96 nucleotides. Lineage: Eukaryota; Metazoa; Mollusca; Cephalopoda; Sepiida; Sepiidae. The record is from the annotation of a GenBank genome assembly.